This 198-nucleotide ribosomal RNA is filed under the name uncultured bacterium. RNAcentral describes it as "partial 16S ribosomal RNA". It matches the Rfam family "Bacterial small subunit ribosomal RNA", at positions 1301 to 1500 of the family's 1533-position model. The record is from RNAcentral.
CAGGCUGNAACCCGCCUGCAUGAAGUCGGAAUUGCUAGUAAUCGCGGAUCAGCAUGCCGCGGUGAAUACGUUCCCGGGCCUUGUACACACCGCCCGUCACACCAUGGGAGCCGGUAAUACCCGAAGCCAGUAGUCCAACCUCGUGAGGACGCUGCCGAAGGUAGGAUUGGCGACUGGGUGAAGUCGUAACAAGGUAUC